GUCCCUCCUUCCCCUAAGAUAGCAGGCCAUGCGUUUCCUACCAGCUUGGUUUCCAUAUUGCCUGCUAACAGGAUUUGUGCUUCCUCGUCUCUCUGCUCCUAACAAACAAUGCUGACACCUGGACACCCUCCUAAAAACGCUGACGAUGGCCAGGUGCCCCAGGCUCUGAGAAAGCUACAAAAAAGGGCUCUCUCUGGAUCUCUCACCAGCCUGCUCCUGCCAUGGGCAUCUUAUCACAGCAACAGGAAAAGAAAACAAGACACUGGGUAAGAAGAGCCUGUGGCAGGACGGGCAGAGGCAAUCACAGGGAGCCCUACAAGGUCGAAGAGCAGCAUGCAUCAGCAUGGUAAAGGUACUUGUCAUUCCAGCCUGGCUAUCUGAGCUCUGUCAGAACCCACGUAAAGAUGAAAGAAGAGAACUAACCCCACAAAGCUCCCUCCAACCAUGGCAUGCUUACCUACAUACACACAAGAUGUACAUAUGUGUGCGCACACACACACUCACACACACACUAAUAAAUGAAUGAAAACAA
This is a long non-coding RNA of Mastomys coucha (southern multimammate mouse), 532 nucleotides long. RefSeq lists it as uncharacterized. NCBI's taxonomy places the organism in Eukaryota, Metazoa, Chordata, Mammalia, Rodentia, Muridae. The record is from RefSeq and is a predicted model, not a curated record. The transcript is spliced from 3 exons.